Molecule: ribosomal RNA, 325 nt
Filed under: uncultured eukaryote
Lineage: Eukaryota
Description: partial 18S ribosomal RNA
Rfam family: Eukaryotic small subunit ribosomal RNA
Source: RNAcentral
CCCUUAGAUGUUCUGGGCCGCACGCGCGCUACACUGACUGCUCCAACAAGUUACCUGGGCUGACAAGCAUCCGGGAAAUCUUGCAAAGGCAGUCGUGAUGGGGAUAGAUUCUUGUAAUUUUUGAUCUUCAACGAGGAAUUCCUAGUAAACGCAAGUCAUCGGCUUGCAUUGAUUACGUCCCUGCCCUUUGUACACACCGCCCGUCGCAUCUACCGAUUGAAUGGAGAGGCAAAAUCUUCGGACCGUGACGCUUGGGAGUCAAAUCUCGGGCUGUCGUGGGAAGUGGAUUAAACCUUUCUAUUUAGAGGAAGGUAAAGUCGUAACA